This is a long non-coding RNA of Engraulis encrasicolus (European anchovy), 2029 nucleotides long. RefSeq lists it as uncharacterized. NCBI's taxonomy places the organism in Eukaryota, Metazoa, Chordata, Actinopteri, Clupeiformes, Engraulidae. The record is from RefSeq and is a predicted model, not a curated record. The transcript has 2 exons.
CGUCUUAAGACGUAACACCAUUCCCUUGCAUUUAGUGGUGAGUGUCGCUGUCGAGAGAGAGUUGAGUCGCUCUUACGAAGGAAGGACGUUGCUACCGUCGUUAGCAAAGACGCUUUCGAGAUACGGACCCCAGGGCCGCUGGCAGCUUUUGGACAGGCCCAGGGACAAGGUCAACUGAAAGGCUCAGCUCAGCUCGUUCCAUGUUACGAGGACCCAAUUCUGGGGCCCCUCUCUCCCUGGGCCUGGGACAACUGACCCUGUGUUAUUGUCCCGCCCUGUUGGCCUCCCUCACAACACAACACAAUCAGCCAACGACUCUACACAAGACAACACAACACAAUUAGCCAACGACUCUACACAACACAACACAACACAACACAAUUAGCCAACGACUCUACACAACGCAACACAACACAAUCAGCCAACGACUCUACACAACACAACACAACACAACACAACACAACACAACACAACACAAUCAGCCAACGACUCUACACAAGACAACACAACACAAUUAGCCAACAACUCUACACAACACAAGGCAGUUAGCCAACGACUCUACACAACACAACACAAUUAGCCAACGACUCUACACAACACUACACAACACAACACAACACAACACAGUUAGCCAACGACUCUACACAACACAAGACAACACAAUUAGCCAACAACUCCACACAACACAACACAGUUAGCCAACUAACCUACACAACGAGCCAACUACUCUACUCAACACACCACAGUUAGGGCUGCGGUUGCCACCACCAGAGUUGCUCGUUAGCCACUUAGCAUCGGAGUUGGUGGUCGCGUCAAUGGGUGUUGCCAUUGCUAUCGUCACAGUAGCUAACUUAACUUAGCUAGCGACAGCGGGUCGAGGAAAUGCCCACCAGGCAGCCAGUGGGCCUGCCAAUCAACACAAGCCAACCAGCCAGUCAGCCAAUCAACACAAGCCACCCAGCCAGUCAGCCCAUCAACACAAGGCAACCAGUCGGCCGGCCAAUCAACACAAGCCAACUGAGGAAAUCAGCUAAUGAGCCGCCUCCUCCUCCUCUGGACUUGCUGUUUGUCUGAAGACGUGUGUUGGACUGUGUGUGUUUGACUGUGUGUAGGUCUGUGUGUGUUUGACUGUCUGUAGGUCUGUGUGUAGGUCUGUGUGUGUUUGACUGUGUGUAGGUGUGUGUUUGUUUAACUAGGUGAGCGUUUUAUUUGUGAAUUAAAAGGGACAUAUGUCACACACACACUCCCAAGUGUGUGUACAGGUCGUCGACUGUGGGCCGUGUGUGUGUGUGUGUGUGUGUGUGUGUGUGUGUGUGUGUGUGUGUGUGUGUGUGUGUGUGUGUGUGUGGAGAGGUCGCUGUGCUGGACUGUGUGUGUGUGUGUGUGUGUGUGUGUGUGUGUGUGUGUGUGUGUGUGUGUGUGUGUGUGUGUGGAGAGGUCGACUGUGGGCCGUGUGUGUGUGUGUGUGUGUGUGUGUGUGUGUGUGUGUGUGGAGAGGUCGCUGUGCUGGACUGAGGUGCUGAGGCCAAUCGCUGAUCAUGUUUGUGGACACGACACAUUAGAGACUCUGAGCUUUUCUUAUAACCUUUUUAAUGGACAAUUACAGGCAACCACGACCACAUGGACUAUUGUCAAUAUGUGUGUGUGUGUGUGUGUGUGUGUGUGUGUGUGUGUAUGUGUGGAUGCAAGGGUGUGUGUGUGUGUGUGUUGUGCGUGAAUGCGUGCAAGGAUGUGUGUGUGUGCGUGCAAGGGUGUUUGUGCAUGCGUGCAAGCGAGGAUGUGUGUGUGUGUGUGUGUGUGUGUGUCCAUGCAUGCGUGCGAGGAUGUGUGUGUGUGUGUGUGUGUGUGUGUGUGUGUGUGUCCAUGCAUGCGUGCGAGGAUGUGUGUGUGUGUGUGUGUGCAUGCAUGCAUGCGAGGAUGUGUGUGCGCGAGACUGUAUGUGCUCUAAAGACUUGACCGGCCUGUAUAGUGUUGACGUGUGUACGCCACUUUUGCUGGAUUAUGGAUAUAAAAGAAUUGAUGAUCUUAA